This 455-nucleotide ribosomal RNA is filed under the name uncultured bacterium. Its description in RNAcentral is "bacterial SSU rRNA". It matches the Rfam family "Bacterial small subunit ribosomal RNA", at positions 340 to 786 of the family's 1533-position model. The record is from RNAcentral.
UACGGAAGGCAGCAGUGGGGAAUAUUGCACAAUGGGCGCAAGCCUGAUGCAGCCAUGCCGCGUGUAUGAAGAAGGCCUUCGGGUUGUAAAGUACUUUUCAGUCGUGAGGAAGGUGUUAAGGUUAAUAACCUUAGCAAUUGACGUUAGCGACAGAAGAAGCACCGGCUAACUCCGUGCCAGCAGCCGCGGUAAUACGGAGGGUGCGAGCGUUAAUCGGAAUUACUGGGCGUAAAGGGCACGCAGGCGGUUAAUUAAGUUGGAUGUGAAAUCCCCGGGCUUAACCUGGGAAUGGCAUUCAAGACUGGUUAGCUAGAGUCUUGUAGAGGGGGUAGAAUUCCAUGUGUAGCGGUGAAAUGCGUAGAGAUGUGGAGGAAUACCGGUGGCGAAGGCGGCCCCUGGACAAAGACUGACGCUCAUGUGCGAAAGCGUGGGGAGCGAAACAGGGAUUAGAUACC